GAUGAACGCUGGCGGCGUGCCUAACACAUGCAAGUCGAGCGGACAGACGAAGAGUUUGCCUGUCUGACGUUACCGGCGGGCGGGUGAGUAACACGAGUCUGCCUUACCUUUAAGACUGAGAUCACUACGGGAGCCCGGAUCUCACACCCGAUCUGAUGUUGAACCGCAUGGUUCAUUAGUGAUAGACGGUUUUGCUGUCCCUAAUACAUGGUUCCGGGCCGGAUUAGCUAGUUGGUAAGGUAACGGCUUACCAAGGCGACGAUGCGUAGCCGAUCUGAGAGGAUGAUCGGCCACACUGGAACUGAGACACGGUCCAGACUCCUACGGGAGGCAGCAGUGGGGAAUCUUGCGCAAUGGGCGAAAGCCUGACGCAGCAACGCCGCGUGUGUGAAGAAGGUCUUCGGAUCGUAAAGCACUUUUAGUAGGGAAGAACAGAUGUGAGAGAAAAUCUGGCUGUCUUGACGGUACCUAAACAAAAAGCAACGGCUAACUACGUG
This 497-nucleotide ribosomal RNA is filed under the name uncultured bacterium. Its description in RNAcentral is "partial 16S ribosomal RNA". It matches the Rfam family "Bacterial small subunit ribosomal RNA", at positions 28 to 507 of the family's 1533-position model. The record is from RNAcentral.